This 254-nucleotide ribosomal RNA is filed under the name uncultured bacterium. RNAcentral describes it as "partial 16S ribosomal RNA". It matches the Rfam family "Bacterial small subunit ribosomal RNA", at positions 524 to 776 of the family's 1533-position model. The record is from RNAcentral.
CACGUAGGGUGCGAGCGUUGUCCGGAAUUAUUGGGCGUAAAGAGCUCGUAGGCGGUGUGUCGCGUCGGCCGUGAAAACCUGCAGCUUAACUGUGGGCGUGCGGUCGAUACGGGCAUCACUGGAGUUCGGCAGGGGAGACUGGAAUUCCUGGUGUAGCGGUGAAAUGCGUAGAUAUCUGAAGGAACAUCAGUGGCGAAAGCGACUUCCUGGACCAAUACUGACGCUCAUGUGCGAAAGCUAGGGGAGCAAACGGG